This 89-nucleotide transfer RNA is filed under the name Phycisphaera sp. RNAcentral's name for it is "tRNA-Ser". It matches the Rfam family "tRNA". From Rfam's summary of the family: Transfer RNA (tRNA) molecules are approximately 80 nucleotides in length. The record is from RNAcentral. Lineage: Bacteria; Pseudomonadati; Planctomycetota; Phycisphaerae; Phycisphaerales; Phycisphaeraceae.
GGACAGGUGUCCGAGCGGUUGAAGGAGCAGCAUUGGAAAUGCUGUAUACGGCUUACGCCGUAUCGGGAGUUCGAAUCUCCCCCUGUCCG